UUGGAGAUCGGUGACGGGCGGAGUCCUCGCCAAUCUGGUCAGGGCCGAGAGGCAGCAGCCACAACGAGUUUCGCUCCGGGUCGUCUGCCGGUCUCCACCUUC
RNAcentral lists this signal recognition particle RNA (102 nucleotides) under Caulobacter sp. AP07. Its description in RNAcentral is "Bacterial signal recognition particle RNA". It matches the Rfam family "Bacterial small signal recognition particle RNA". From Rfam's summary of the family: The signal recognition particle (SRP) is a universally conserved ribonucleoprotein involved in the co-translational targeting of proteins to membranes. The record is from RNAcentral. Lineage: Bacteria; Pseudomonadati; Pseudomonadota; Alphaproteobacteria; Caulobacterales; Caulobacteraceae.